ACAUUGGUGGUUCAAUGGUAGAAUUCUCGCCUGCCAUGCGGGAGGCCUGGGUUCAAUUCCCAGCUGAUGCA
This is a non-coding RNA of Cervus elaphus (red deer), 71 nucleotides long. NCBI's taxonomy places the organism in Eukaryota, Metazoa, Chordata, Mammalia, Artiodactyla, Cervidae. The record is from the annotation of a RefSeq genome assembly.